AUGUCUCACACCUGUCUUUGUCACACCUGUGUCACACCCCUGUGUCUCACACAUCUGUCUCACCCACCUGUCUGUGUCUCACCUGUGUCUCACCUGUCUGUAUCUCACCUGUGUCUCACCUCAGUCCUGUCUCACUCCUGUCUGCAUCUCACACCUGUCUCACCUGUCUCACCCAUCUGUCUCACCUGUGUUUCUCACCUGUCUCACACUUGUCACACCUGUGAGUGUCACGCCUGUGUCUGUCUCACUCCUCUCUCACACCCCUGUCUGUGCCUCACCUCUGUGUCUCACACCCCUGUCUCUCUCACCCAUCUGUCUCACACCUGUCUGUAUCUCACCUGUGUCUCACACCUGUGUCUCACCCCUGUGUCACACCUGUCUGUGUCACUGCUGUCUGUGUCUCACCUGUCUGUAUCUCACCUGUGUCUCACCUGUGUCUCACCCGUUUCACCUGUGUGUCUUACCCCUGUCUGUAUCUCACCUGUCUCACACCUGUCUGUGUCACACCUGUGUCACACCCGUGUCACACCCGUCUGUGUCUCACCCCUGUCUCACCUGUGUCUCACCUGUAUCUCACUUGUCUGUGUCACACCUGUGUCUCGCCCCAUCUCACCUGUAUCUCACCUGUGUGUCACACCUGUCUGUAUCUUACUUGUCUGUGUCUCACCUGUCUGUGUCUCACCCCUGUCUCACCUGUAUCUCACCUGUGUCUCACCUGUGUCACACCUGUCUGUGUCUCACCUGUCUGUAUCUCACCCAUGUCUCACCUGUGUCUCACCUGUGUCUCACCUGUCUGUGUCUCACCUGUGUCUCACCUGUCUGUAUCUCACCUGUGUCUCACCUCAGUCCUGUCUCACUCCUGUCUGCAUCUCACACCUGUCUCACCUGUCUCACCCAUCUGUCUCACCUGUGUUUCUCACCUGUCUCACACUUGUCACACCUGUGAGUGUCACGCCUGUGUCUGUCUCACUCCUCUCUCACACCCCUGUCUGUGCCUCACCUCUGUGUCUCACACCCCUGUCUCUCUCACCCAUCUGUCUCACACCUGUCUGUAUCUCACCUGUGUCUCACACCUGUGUCUCACCCCUGUGUCACACCUGUCUGUGUCACUGCUGUCUGUGUCUCACCUGUCUGUAUCUCACCUGUGUCUCACCUGUGUCUCACCUGUCUGUGUCUCACCUGUGUCUCACCCCUGAGCUUGUUUGCAGUUUCCUCCCCGAGGCCCUGGGGUAG
Molecule: long non-coding RNA, 1233 nt
Filed under: Ficedula albicollis (Collared flycatcher)
Lineage: Eukaryota; Metazoa; Chordata; Aves; Passeriformes; Muscicapidae
Description: lncRNA (ENSFALG00000014660.2)
Source: RNAcentral